UAUGGCUAUUUUUUCUAAGGACUGCCUAAUAGAUUUUUGUAAACUAGAAUUAGAGAUCUUCCUUGUUUCUUUGAAUUGAUUUCUAGUUUGAUGAUUGAAUUGAAUUGGUUGCGAUAUAGUAUGAUGAUGAUUGUUGUGUUUAUUGUGUGGGGAUGGGCAAUAGAUAACCCUAAUUUGUCUAUUUGUGAUUAGAUAACCUGAAGUCGCCAAGCGUGGUGCAUGGAGCUUAUUUAUGGAGUGUCAUACUGUGAGUAGUAUACUAUACACAUAUGUAUGUAUAUGCGUUAUCCCCUCCCAUUUGCAUUAAGCAUGCCUUUAAAUGCGAAUGAGAUUGAUGCAACUAAGUGAUCAAUAUGAUAUGUGUGCAUGCAUUGUGUGAAAAAUUGAUUUUAAUUGCUUAGCGGGAUUGAGUUGAAUCUCUUAGACGAUGGGGCACUCAUCAGACCAUCUGUAUUGAGGGUGCAAUCUUGAGGGAUAAUAUUAGUCUAGAAGUGCUUUGUUACCCCGACUAUUGUUGAUUGCUGUUUAACAAUAUUGAUGUGAUUAUUUGUGCUUAUAUUAUUUUGAUGCUAAUUGGAUAGGGAAAGUAGGGACCUCUAGGUGCCAAGAGGUUCUUGAUGGAUGACUAGAGGGUUCAAAAGUCCGAUAUUCAGGGAAUCAUGGUCCAUUAGAGUUUGAAAUGAACCUAUAUAUAAAGAUGUUUCUAUAUAGCUUUAAAAAUAUUUUAAGCAUUGAAAAAAUAAUUAAAAAUGUUUUCGAAAUAGCGUUGUCAUUUUCUAUAAGUUUUGAACUUGAGCCUUGUGUCCGAUGGUCUUUCAGUAGUCCGCAUAUGUUUUGAGUUGCACAUGUUCAUUCAUGCAUCAUACAAUUCACAUGUCAAAUACAUCGAGUAACAUAUUGGUUGUCAGUCUCAGACACAAUGAUGCGAGUUUAAAACAAAGAGAAAAUGAAAAACUAUACUAAAAUUUAUUAGAUAUUUAUUUAGAAUAAAGUUUAGUUUUCAUUUAAUAGGAGGAUUAAAGUGAAAAUAUGGCAUCGACAGUAGAUAUUAUAGAGAUGCAUGGCCUCUUGCAUGAGUAAGUUAGAACAUACCAAUUUAGUUUUAGUUAAUAUCUCCUUUUGUUUUUAAAUUUAACAUCUCAAGUAACUAUUUAUGUCCUAAUUUUCUUUUCUCGCUAUAAUUUCUUGUUGGCUUGAGUUGGGUUUAGUAAUUUUGGGCAUGUGAUAUUAUGAUUGGAUUGGAAAUUGAUGCUUGUAAGAUUUGGUCCAUGCUUGAAUUGGCACAAGCGAUGUCGAAGGCUAUUUAGAGUUUAAAUUGGAGAACUGAUGAUGAGUUUGAAGCUUUCAACUCUAAGAGUUACAUUGUUUGAUAAUGAUUCUUGGGCUAAUUAUAACUUCUUAAUUUUCUUAUUUUGUUACUAUCUCCGUAAUUAGGUUAGUAACUAUUCUUUAAUUUUAUUUAUUUGCAUGAAGUGAGUAAGGGCUUUGGGUUACUUUAGAUGAUGAUUAUUGAUUGUGUGCUGUGUUUGAUUUUGUGUUUAUGGCUUAAUUUUUGUAUUGUGGCAUGAGAUGUUAGAUUGGUGCUAUGCCAAAUUAUGUGAACUUUAGGUUGGUCCUUCGAAGUGUGAAUUUGAUUGGAAUUUCGGGAUUCUGUCCCUUGUGUGACAGUCCACUUGUUUGAGCAUUAUCUAGAGUUCCACAACUCCAAAUGAGGCAAAAUCUGAACCUAUAGAAACUUUGGUCCGUCCUCUAAAACUAUUUAUUUUGUGGAAGGCCUAAUUCUGCUGUUUUGGAAGUAAAAUUGAGUAUUAGAUUUUCAUAGUCAAUAUGACCUGACAGAUUGACGUAUCUGCAAUGUUUUAUUUAGUCCUCCUUGUUCACUUUUUCAAAUGGCGCAAGACCAAUUAGAAAUGAAACUAGACUUAAUGUCCUUGUGAUGUGGAAAAGAUGGUACCGGUAAUGCUUCCUAGAAUUUCUUGAGACAAUUUUGAGUAGAGCCUCAGAAAUCUGUCGUAGAUGACAGUUUGUUGAUUAUGUGCAAAUAGUAGUUUUAGAUGAUUAAUUGCUUGAGAAAAUCAAUUUUUUUUAUGCCAUGUGAUUAGUAUGUGAUAUAUUUGUUGAUACAUUGCUGGUGGGAGCUUUGGUUUUGCAAUUAAAGGUUGAUUUUAAUAUUUGUUUGCUUAUGCCCCGAAUUCUGUACUAAGUUUUUUCUUGACAGUCAAAUUUGAAAAUUAAUAUGCCAAAUUCUACUACAAAUGAAUGGUUGAUUUUUGGGUAUUUUGUUUCCCAUCUGUGUAGUUUAUGGGUAUAAAAUGGCACUUUGAUCCAAUUGGUCGGAUCUUGACUUGUGGCUAUUUUUCUAGGGACUACCCGGAGAGAAUUUUCUAAACUAGAUUAAGGAUCUUCCUUGUUUCUUGGAUUGCUUUCUAGUUUGGAAAAUUGCAAUUACCCCUUAAUUCAAUGAAUAUUUGACAGGCUUCGAUACAAGAAUUUAUGGGAUUUAAGCCCUUAGUUUAAGUUGAAAAUGGUGCCUGAUUCAGUCUGAUAUAAUCUGAUUAGAUCUUUUAUUAUUACACUGGUUUUGAUAUCAAUUUCACGAUACUUUAUUUAAAACUUGCCAUCAACAUAGAUGAAAGUGUUUUUUAGAACUUCUUAUGUUAAGACUGAUUUCUAGGUUGUGUCACUUAUAGAUUCUUUCAUGGCAACAGGUAAACGAUUAGUGAAGGUAAGGCCUUUUCAGGUUAUAGUGCCCAAUUUUUUUAUAUUAAUCAUUGAGGCUUUAAAUUCUAUAUGCUACAGGUCUCCUUUUGCAUAUCGAAAGGCAAAGGGAAUUAUUUGAAGCAUGAACCCUUUACAUUAGUGAUAGACAAUUGGCUCUUUCAUACCUUGCUGCCAUGCAGGUUAUUGCAUACAGUACACACCAUAUUGUGGAGCAUUGGAAUGCUCAUGGUCACAAAUUAAGAAGCAUUGCUUUUAAUCUUCAUGCAUUUAUUUUUCUGUAAUGAUAUGUUUUAUAUUAUGUUUAAAUAUAUAACUGCAUCUCAUACUUUCAAUUGAUUUGUGUUAUCAUGAGAUUGCUUUAUAAUGUAGUUGUUUAUAUUUUCAGCUAUGUGUUUCUUAGUCAGCGGAAUGAUGGCUAUACCUCCAGAUGUAAUUUGUUUUAUCACUUCCUGUUCUUUCUUGUAUAUCUUCUUCCCUUGCAGGUGACAUGCUGCUUGCGUGCUGUGGCCUUUCAAGAGACUUUGUUUGUUCAAGAACAUGCAAAUAUUAUUGGUACUUAUCUUCAUAAUCUCUUUAUACUGUUCACAUCUUAAAAUUUUUCCCACUGAUUUUAAAAUUAUAGUGCAUUCUUUUGAUCAAUGGGUAGCCUUUGUAAAGUUUCAUUUCUGCCACUGCAAUUUCUUCUCAUUAUUCUUUUCCCAGUUUGAUAUAAUGUAUGGUGAAGUCUCAAUGUUGACUAGUUAUUAAUUAUUGUGAACAUACGUUGUUAGGAAAGUCUUUCAAUCUUGAAUUGGUGGCUUGAAUAAUUU
This 3530-nucleotide long non-coding RNA is filed under the name Ricinus communis (castor bean). RNAcentral's name for it is "long non-coding RNA (RCOM_LNC003340)". Lineage: Eukaryota; Viridiplantae; Streptophyta; Magnoliopsida; Malpighiales; Euphorbiaceae. The record is from RNAcentral.